This 240-nucleotide unclassified non-coding RNA is filed under the name soil metagenome. RNAcentral describes it as "partial contains 5.8S ribosomal RNA, internal transcribed spacer 2, and large subunit ribosomal RNA". The record is from RNAcentral.
AACGCACGAGACCUGCGGACCUGCGGAGGGAUCAUUACUGAGAUAGGGUUUCUUCUGAGCCCGACCUCCAACCCUUUGCUUAAACCACCUUGUUGCUUUGGCAGGCCCCGUCCCUUUGGGGACCGCCGGGAGUGUUUAAUCACCCUUGGCCAGUGCCUGCCAGUAGCCAAUUUAAAUUCCUUUUUAACCAUGUUGUCUGAAAAAAACACAAGAAAUUCAAUUAAAACUUUCAACAAUGGA